Ipomoea nil (Japanese morning glory) is the source of this 260-nucleotide long non-coding RNA. RefSeq lists it as uncharacterized. The transcript is spliced from 3 exons. The record is from RefSeq and is a predicted model, not a curated record. NCBI's taxonomy places the organism in Eukaryota, Viridiplantae, Streptophyta, Magnoliopsida, Solanales, Convolvulaceae.
CUCAUGUUGCACUUUCUGCUCUUUGCAGUUUCAGUACUGCCCAGAAAUUAGACAAACUUGGGAUGAGAGGAAGUGAUACGUGUGAGCUUGUGUUUGAAAAUUGCUUUGUUCCGGAAGAAAAUGUUCUGGGAGAGGAAGGGAAAGGAGUUUAUGUCAUGAUGUCGGGCCUAGAUUUGGAAAGACUUGUUCUGGCUGCCGGACCUCUUGGAAUCAUACAGGCAUGUCUUGAUGUGGUACUUCUAUAUGUUCGUCAACGAGAG